AUUGAUUAAGAAGAUAUAUUCUUAUAAAUAGAUUUACAAUCUAU
This 44-nucleotide transfer RNA is filed under the name Drosophila austrosaltans. Its description in RNAcentral is "partial tRNA-Tyr". The record is from RNAcentral. Lineage: Eukaryota; Metazoa; Arthropoda; Insecta; Diptera; Drosophilidae.